This 87-nucleotide transfer RNA is filed under the name Burkholderiaceae bacterium. RNAcentral's name for it is "tRNA-Leu". It matches the Rfam family "tRNA". Rfam says of the family: Transfer RNA (tRNA) molecules are approximately 80 nucleotides in length. The record is from RNAcentral. Lineage: Bacteria; Pseudomonadati; Pseudomonadota; Betaproteobacteria; Burkholderiales; Burkholderiaceae.
GCGGCUGUGAUGGAACCGGUAGACAUAGGAGACUUAAAAUCUCCCGACCGAGAGGUCAUGCGGGUUCGAGUCCCGCCAGCCGCACCA